GACGAACGCUGGCGGCGUGCUUAACACAUGCAAGUCGAACGGCAAGGCCCUGCUUUUGUGGGGUGCUCGAGUGGCGAACGGGUGAGUAACACGUGAGUAACCUGCCCUUGACUUUGGGAUAACUUCAGGAAACUGGGGCUAAUACCGGAUAGGAGCUCCUGCUGCAUUGUGGGGGUUGGAAAGUUUCGGCGGGUGGGGAUGGACUCGCGGCUUAUGAGCUUGUUGGUGGGGGAGUGGCUUACCCAGGCUUUGGCGGGUAGCCGGCCUGAGAGGGGGACCGGCCACAUUGGGACUGAGAUACGGCCCAGACUCCUACGGGAGGCAGCAGUGGGGAAUAUUGCACAAUGGGCGGAAGCCUGAUGCAGCAACGCCGCGUGCGGGAUGACGGCCUUCGGGUUGUAAACCGCUUUCGCCUGUGACGAAGCGUGAGUGACGGUAAUGGGUAAAGAAGCACCGGCUAACUACGUG
RNAcentral lists this ribosomal RNA (468 nucleotides) under uncultured bacterium. RNAcentral's name for it is "partial 16S ribosomal RNA". It matches the Rfam family "Bacterial small subunit ribosomal RNA", at positions 28 to 507 of the family's 1533-position model. The record is from RNAcentral.